ACGGUAGCGAAAAACGCAUUUGUCGGUUGAGCUUUGGGUCCGCAUGUCAUUGAAAGGCACAGUAAUGAUCUUAUAUGCUCUAGCUGUAACCAAUAGCAUGGAGAUGUAAGGAAGGGUAGUGAAGAAGGUAUCAACGGGGUUAACCGUUAGCGAGCCGUAAAGGUGGAUGAAGUCAGAUGAAGAGAAAUGACGAAGGUGGAUUAAGUUAGAUGAAGGCGAAUGAAGGUGGUGAAUGAAGAUGGAUGAAAAUUGAUGAAGUCCAGAUUGAGGUGAAUGAAGUUAGAUGGAGACGAAUGAAGUUGGAUGAAGGUAAAUAACGUCAGAGUGACGGAUGAACUUAGACUAAAGGAAAUGAAGGUGGAUAAAGCUAGAUAAAGGUAAAUGAAGGUGAAUAAAGUUAAAUGAAGGUAAAUGAAGGUGGAGGAAGGUCAGUGACGUUAGACUAAGUUGAACAGCGACGUAAUAUGAAGUUGAAUGAAGCUAGAUGGCCGCAUGACCGUUAAUAAGGGUGAAGGAAGGUGAAGGAAGUUAGAUGAAGGAAUAUGAAGGUAGAUAAAGAUGGAUGGAAGGAAAUGAUGGUGGAUGAAGUUAAAUGAAGGUGUCGUGGCAUUCCUCACAUGGAGUAUGGUACAUUACAUGUCCCCAUACAUCACAUAUACCUACACCCCCCGAGGGGAGGGGCUCCUUUAUAAAAAGGACGGGGAUGCUUGUCGGAAGUUUUGAAAAGAACCCCUACGAGGUACCAAGACCCUACUUUGUGGGCGCGGCUUGAAAUUUUUUUCACUACCAAGCCGGGUACCAAUUCUAAAACAAAACAUCAUCUCCUCUCAUAUUUUUUCGGCUCAAUAACCUAAAAUGUACCGCAAAAGGUCCCACUGUGGAACUUUGGAGGCUGAAAACCCUAAGGGGUACCAAAACCGUUUUAUCAAGCCCUAAACGGUACAAAGAGCACCCCAUUCCUUUUUAUGUGGGAGCCCCCACGCCCGCGAUAUACCUACUCCGGUGACGGCCGAGCCGGAAAAACUGGGCACUAAUUUAUUCAAAAAUUGCAGCACGUGUAACAUUUGACCUUCGUGUAGCUAGGAUGAGAUGGAAGAGUCUCCGAGUCUAUCAUUAGGAAAGCGUUUGCGCUGGACGUAGCCGGUUCAUAGAAUGUUGGAGGGAUUCACAAGUUGCAGAAGAUCAAGAAGUAAGCUCGAGUUUGUGGAUGACUCAUGAUGUUGGAACAAGUCGCAAAAGAUCUGGAAAAAGCCUCUUUAAGUUGUCUUUAACUGCAGCAGGUACAAAGGCGAUGACAUGAAAUAGAAGAGUACACGUUAAGAGCAAGGCAGAGAAUUGUUGAAAUAAAACAUCUUGAAUAAUCUCAGCUCGUGUUAAUUUGAAAACAGAAAUCGGACAUGUCUUUCAGAGCAGUGGUUCUGUAAUUAGUCAAUUCGUCGCGAGAGAACUCGGAAAAAACUAGGUCUUUUGGCGGGAAAAUAUUUGCGCUUUUAAAAGAGACCCAAAAAAGUCGGAAAAAUACUAAGUCUUUUGGUGGGAAAAUAUUUACGGCCUUGAAAGGGUUCAAGAAAAACGUCGAG
This is a long non-coding RNA of Orbicella faveolata, 1580 nucleotides long. The record is from RefSeq and is a predicted model, not a curated record. Lineage: Eukaryota; Metazoa; Cnidaria; Anthozoa; Scleractinia; Merulinidae.